Molecule: ribosomal RNA, 2473 nt
Filed under: Streptomyces sp. NRRL F-4428
Lineage: Bacteria; Bacillati; Actinomycetota; Actinomycetes; Kitasatosporales; Streptomycetaceae
Description: Bacterial large subunit ribosomal RNA
Rfam family: Bacterial large subunit ribosomal RNA
Source: Rfam by way of RNAcentral
GUCGUGACUGCGUGCCUUUUGAAGAAUGAGCCUGCGAGUUAGCGGUGUGUAGCGAGGUUAACCCGUGUGGGGAAGCCGUAGCGAAAGCGAGUCCGAACAGGGCGAUUGAGUUGCACGCUCUAGACCCGAAGCGGAGUGAUCUAGCCAUGGGCAGGUUGAAGCGGAGGUAAGACUUCGUGGAGGACCGAACCCACCAGGGUUGAAAACCUGGGGGAUGACCUGUGGUUAGGGGUGAAAGGCCAAUCAAACUCCGUGAUAGCUGGUUCUCCCCGAAAUGCAUUUAGGUGCAGCGUCGUGUGUUUCUUGCCGGAGGUAGAGCACUGGAUAGGCGAUGGGCCCUACCGGGUUACUGACCUUAGCCAAACUCCGAAUGCCGGUAAGUGAGAGCACGGCAGUGAGACUGUGGGGGAUAAGCUCCAUGGUCGAGAGGGAAACAGCCCAGAGCAUCGACUAAGGCCCCUAAGCGUACGCUAAGUGGGAAAGGAUGUGGAGUCGCAGAGACAACCAGGAGGUUGGCUUAGAAGCAGCCACCCUUGAAAGAGUGCGUAAUAGCUCACUGGUCAAGUGAUUCCGCGCCGACAAUGUAGCGGGGCUCAAGCGUACCGCCGAAGUCGUGUCAUUGCAGCAAUAGGGCCAACGCCCGCUGUGAUGGGUAGGGGAGCGUCGUGUGCCGGGUGAAGCAGCAGCGGAAGCUAGUUGUGGACGGUUCACGAGUGAGAAUGCAGGCAUGAGUAGCGAUACACACGUGAGAAACGUGUGCGCCGAUUGACUAAGGGUUCCUGGGUCAAGCUGAUCUGCCCAGGGUAAGUCGGGACCUAAGGCGAGGCCGACAGGCGUAGUCGAUGGACAACCGGUUGAUAUUCCGGUACCCGCUUUGAAACGCCCAAUAUCGAAUCAGGCGAUGCUAAGUCCGUGAAGCCGUCCUGGAUCCUUCGGGUGAAGGGAAGUGGUGGAGCCGACGAACCAGACUUGUAGUAGGUAAGCGAUGGGGUGACGCAGGAAGGUAGUCCAGCCCGGGCGGUGGUUGUCCCGGGGUAAGGGUGUAGGCCGAGGGGUAGGCAAAUCCGUCCCUCAUACAAGGCUGAGACCUGAUGCCGAGCCGAUUGUGGUGAAGUGGAUGAUCCUAUGCUGUCGAGAAAAGCCUCUAGCGAGUUUCAUGGCGGCCCGUACCCUAAACCGACUCAGGUGGUCAGGUAGAGAAUACCGAGGCGUUCGGGUGAACUAUGGUUAAGGAACUCGGCAAAAUGCCCCCGUAACUUCGGGAGAAGGGGGGCCAUUCCUGGUGAUCGGAUUUACUCCGUGAGCUGGGGGUGGCCGCAGAGACCAGCGAGAAGCGACUGUUUACUAAAAACACAGGUCCGUGCGAAGCCGUAAGGCGAUGUAUACGGACUGACGCCUGCCCGGUGCUGGAACGUUAAGGGGACCGGUUAGUGACCUUUCGGGGUUGCGAAGCUGAGAACUUAAGCGCCAGUAAACGGCGGUGGUAACUAUAACCAUCCUAAGGUAGCGAAAUUCCUUGUCGGGUAAGUUCCGACCUGCACGAAUGGCGUAACGACUUCUCGACUGUCUCAACCAUAGGCCCGGUGAAAUUGCACUACGAGUAAAGAUGCUCGUUUCGCGCAGCAGGACGGAAAGACCCCGGGACCUUUACUACAGUUUGAUAUUGGUGUUCGGUUCGGCUUGUGUAGGAUAGGUGGGAGACUUUGAAGCCCCAACGCCAGUUGGGGUGGAGUCGACGUUGAAAUACCACUCUGGUCGUGCUGGAUGUCUAACCUCGGUCCGUGAUCCGGAUCAGGGACAGUGUCUGAUGGGUAGUUUAACUGGGGCGGUUGCCUCCCAAAGGGUAACGGAGGCGCCCAAAGGUUCCCUCAGCCUGGUUGGCAAUCAGGUGUUGAGUGUAAGUGCACAAGGGAGCUUGACUGUGAGACCGACGGGUCGAGCAGGGACGAAAGUCGGGACUAGUGAUCCGGCGGUGGCUUGUGGAAGCGCCGUCGCUCAACGGAUAAAAGGUACCCCGGGGAUAACAGGCUGAUCUUCCCCAAGAGUCCAUAUCGACGGGAUGGUUUGGCACCUCGAUGUCGGCUCGUCGCAUCCUGGGGCUGGAGUCGGUCCCAAGGGUUGGGCUGUUCGCCCAUUAAAGCGGUACGCGAGCUGGGUUUAGAACGUCGUGAGACAGUUCGGUCCCUAUCCGCUGUGCGCGUAGGAAUAUUGAGAAGGGCUGUCCCUAGUACGAGAGGACCGGGACGGACGAACCUCUGGUGUGCCAGUUGUCCUGCCAAGGGCAUGGCUGGUUGGCUACGUUCGGGAGGGAUAACCGCUGAAAGCAUCUAAGCGGGAAGCCUGCUUCAAGAUGAGUAUUCCCACCUCCUUGAGAGGGUAAGGCUCCCAGUAGACGACUGGGUUGAUAGGCCAGAUGUGGAAGCCCGGUAACGGGUGGAGCUGACUGGUACUAAUAGGCCGAGGGCUUGUCCUC